This is a non-coding RNA of Cordylochernes scorpioides, 84 nucleotides long. The record is from the annotation of a GenBank genome assembly. Lineage: Eukaryota; Metazoa; Arthropoda; Arachnida; Pseudoscorpiones; Chernetidae.
AAGCAGAGCGUGGUUUCGAUCCACAGACCUUCCACACGAUCCACAGCUUAUGGGCCCAGCACGUUUCCACUGCGCCACUCUGCU